AUCAAACCGUGCCAACUGCAAGUGACAUUUGGAUCGACCGAUCCAGCCUCUGCUGCCGAACGCACCUUGUUAGCCAAAAGGAAGGACGCGGGAUUCUGCGGUCCUGAAUCUAUGGAACAAAGAGUGACAUCCCCUUGACGAGUUAAGAAAAACGAGAUCGGUGUGGUCGCAGUGAUCAAUUAUGGCCGGGGAACGUGACUGCGGAGUCUUCGGAUUCUACCCCCGAUGGCUCAGGGGGAAAGCGAACUUCAAGUCCUUCAUGGCCGUCUAUUCGCUUCUUGGCACCGUGCAAGCGAUGUCCUUCAUCUACAUCACAGUCACUCUAACCACCCUUGAGAAAAGGUUCAAAAUUCCCAGUCGCACUACAGGUAUCAUGCUCUCCGGAAACGAGGUAUCCCAGGUCCUCUCCAUCGUCCUGAUCUACUACGGAGGGUCCGGCCAUCGUCCAAGGUGGAUAGCAGUCGGUGUCGCCCUCAGCGCGUUGUCCUGCUUGGUCCUGGCUCUACCGCACUUCAUAUAUGGGCCGGGAAAGGACGCGCUGGCUCUGACCAAGGAGUACCUGGACCACAAGGUGCUGAACACCUCCUCAAAUCCCACGGAGGUGUUCGUUUGCUCGAGGACGACGGGGACGGAAAUCUGCGAUGAGGACUCUCUCUUGGACGUCAGCCUGCUGCCCAGGGUCCUGAUCUUCCUGUCUCAGUUCAUCCUUGGCAUCGGCACCACGCUCUAUUACGGCCUGGGUCAGACCUACAUGGACGACAAUACGAAGAAGAAGAACACUCCGAUGCUACUGGGAUUAGCGUUUGGUUUGAGAACGCUGGGGCCGGUAGCCGGGUUCUUGCUUAGCUAUCUUUGCCUGAGACUGUACAUUGACCCAUCCCUGCACCCUGUUAUAACACCAAGCGAUCCAAGAUGGUUAGGAGCUUGGUGGCUGGGUUGGAUCAUCCUCGGCGUCACGAUGGGAACUUUCGCCAUUCUGGUAGCGCUCUUCCCCAAGGAACUGCCAAAGCGGGAAGAAAAAGUUUCCACCAAGGAUGGCGAAAUUCCGCUGAAACUGGAUUUGUCAAGCGAUAUCAAAGCUCCGCCACAGCCGCAAGAUGCGAAUAAACCCGAAGAGUGCAAGCCGGAUCGAGUUGUCGCGAUGAAAAAUUUUCCCAAGGCCUUGAAGAGACUGCUUACGAACAAACUUGUAUUUUUCAACAAUAUCAGCGCGGUCUUUUACAUUCUUGGAGCAUCGGGUUACAUCACCUUUUACUCUAAAUACAUGGAGAUUCAGUAUGGAACAUCCGCUGGCGGUGGCACAGUUCUUGCAGGACCAUUAUCUUUGUGCGGAAUGGUGAUAGGUUUCGUGGGCUCGGGAAUAGUGAUCAGUAAGUACAAGCCAGGUCCCAGGCUCCUUCUCGGCUGGAACGUGAUAGUGGGUUGUUGCUACCUGGCCGGAAUGGUCACAUACUCCUUCCUGGGGUGUCCCGACUCUGGCGUACAAGGCGUAGACAUGGAAACCUCGACGUUGAACCUGACUGCACCAUGCAACCAGGACUGCACCUGCGAAGGUAUCAAGUACUCCCCGGUCUGUCAUGUACCUAGCGGAACAACCUUCUUCUCCGCGUGUCACGCCGGGUGCAAGACGAUGCUGAACAAAAAUGAGUUCGGUGAUUGUUCAUGCGCAAUUGGAUUAGGCAGUUUGGAAUACGAGGGCCAAACUCCUUCAGCUCCCACGCCAGUUCUGCCGGAAAGCCAAGCACAGUCGAAUCAGUCGUCCUCGACGAUUGAUACCGACAAAGUGGUCAAGGCUGGACCUUGUCCGAGAAAUUGUGACGGGCCAUACACGUGGUUCGUUGUGAUAACUUGCCUGAUGCAGGUAAUCGGCUGCUCGGGCAAGAUAGGGAAUGUCCUGGUGAAUUACAGGGCUGUGGAGAAGGAGGACAAGAGCAUCGCCCAGGGAUUCUCCCUCAUGCUUAUAUCCCUCUUCGCUCUUAUACCCGGGCCCAUUAUAUACGGCACGGUUAUCGACUCGACGUGUCUUAUUUGGAAUGAUUCCUGCGGGGAAAGGGGGAACUGCUGGUUCUAUCACAAGGACGACUUCCGUUACCUGUUGAACGUCUCCGCGAUUGGCUUCAUCGUGAUAGGCAUCGCCUUCGACAGCGCCGUUUGGUAUCUGGCCAAAAAUCUAGAUUUGUACGGGUCGGAUGAGGUGGACCAGCGGCGGGAGUUCGUCAAGGGUGAAAGUCCUGCGCUACCGGUCGGUAAGAGCGACGCCGAUAGGAACCAAACGGUUAGUUCAAAUCAGAACUCGGGACAAAACGUGACGUAAACACUGCAUUUCUCGAUUCGAGCAGUGACUGAGCAAAUUACGGUAAAUAAAUUACACUGCACUACUAACAAAAAUGAUCGCUGAGGUUUCGAGGUCACUCGUUGCAGGCCGACUGCAGGUGACGUACGUCGCGGUGCACUCUCAUUAUAGGUAACGAAGCUUACACGAAUAUUAUAGGUACUGUAUAAUAUGUGAAGGAGACACACAAUCUUUUCGGCAGAGCGUCUUUC
This 2544-nucleotide unclassified non-coding RNA is filed under the name Neodiprion lecontei (redheaded pine sawfly). Its description in RNAcentral is "solute carrier organic anion transporter family member 74D, transcript variant X3". Lineage: Eukaryota; Metazoa; Arthropoda; Insecta; Hymenoptera; Diprionidae. The record is from RNAcentral.